This 482-nucleotide ribosomal RNA is filed under the name uncultured bacterium. RNAcentral describes it as "partial 16S ribosomal RNA". It matches the Rfam family "Bacterial small subunit ribosomal RNA", at positions 30 to 507 of the family's 1533-position model. The record is from RNAcentral.
AUUGAACGCUGGCGGCAUGCCUUACACAUGCAAGUCGAACGGUAACAGGCCGCAAGGUGCUGACGAGUGGCGAACGGGUGAGUAAUGCAUCGGACCGUGCCCAGUCGUGGGGGAUAACUACUCGAACGAGUAGCUAAUACCGCAUACGAACUAUGGAUGAAAGCGGGGGACCGUCAUGCCUCGCGCGAUUGGUGCGGUCGAUGUCAGAUUAGGUAGUUGGUGGGGUAAAGGAUCACCAAGCCAACGAUCUGUAGCUGGUCUGAGAGGACGACCAGCCACACUGGGACUGAGACACGGCCCAGACUCCUACGGGAGGCAGCAGUGGGGAAUUUUGGACAAUGGGCGAAAGCCUGAUCCAGCAAUGCCGCGUGCAGGAAGAAGGCCUUCGGGUUGUAAACUGCUUUUGUACGGAAAGAAACGGUUCUGGUUAAUACGGGGGGCUAAUGACGGUACCGUAAGAAUAAGCACCGGCUAACUACGUG